GGGACCAUGGCUCAGUGGUAGAGCAACUGCUUGGCAUGCAGAAGGUUCCUGGUUCGAUCCUUGGCAGCCCCA
Molecule: transfer RNA, 72 nt
Filed under: Sphaerodactylus townsendi
Lineage: Eukaryota; Metazoa; Chordata; Lepidosauria; Squamata; Sphaerodactylidae
Description: tRNA-Ala
Rfam family: tRNA
About the family: Transfer RNA (tRNA) molecules are approximately 80 nucleotides in length. Their secondary structure includes four short double-helical elements and three loops (D, anti-codon, and T loops).
Source: RNAcentral